AAGUCAGAUGUGAAAGCCUUCUGUUCAACGGAAGAAUUGCAUCUGAAACUGCGAGUCUUGAGUGUAGGAGGGGAGAAUGGAACUUCUGGUGGAGCGGUGAAAUGCGUAGAUAUCAGAAGGAACGCCGGCGGCGAAAGCGAUUCUCUGGCCUAUUACUGACACUCAGUGUGCGAAAGCUAGGGGAGCAAACGGGAUUAGAUACCCCGGUAGUCCUAGCUGUAAACGAUGGGCACUAAGUAGAGGGGAUUACCGAUGUUCUCUCUGCCGUAGCUAACGCAUUAAGUGCCCCGCCUGGGGAGUACGGCCGCAAGGCUAAAACUCAAAAGAAUUGACGGGGGCUCGCACAAGCGGUGGAGCAUGUGGCUUAAUUCGAUGCAACGCGAAAAACCUUACCGGGGCUUGACAUGGUAGAAGUAGGAACCUGAAAGGGUAACGAACGGUAUCCAGUCCGUAGCUAUUACAGGUGUUGCAUGGCUGUCGUCAGCUCGUGUCGUGAGACGUUGGGUUAAGUCCCCUAACGAGCGAAACCCCUGUUUUUAGUUGCCAGCGGGUUAUGCCAGGCACUCUAGAAAGACUGCCGUCGUCAAGACGGAGGAAGGUGGGGAUGACGUCAAGUCAUCAUGGCCCUUAUGCCCCGGGCUGCACACGUGCUACAAUGGUCGGUACAAACGGAAGCGAAG
Molecule: ribosomal RNA, 680 nt
Filed under: uncultured anaerobic ammonium-oxidizing bacterium
Lineage: Bacteria
Description: bacterial SSU rRNA
Rfam family: Bacterial small subunit ribosomal RNA
Source: RNAcentral